UACGAAGGUGGCAAGCGUUACUCGGAAUUACUAGGCGUAAAGGGCAGGUAGGUGGCUUGGAAAGUCUGCUGUGAAAGCUCCUUGCUUAACGAGGAGAGGUCAGCAGAUACUCUCGAGCUUGAGUAUGGGAGAGGGUACUGGAAUUCCCGGUGUAGCGGUGAAAUGCGCAGAGAUCGGGAGGAACACCGAUGGCGAAAGCAGGUACCUGGACCAUUACUGACACUCAGCUGCGAAAGCUAGGGGAG
This 245-nucleotide ribosomal RNA is filed under the name uncultured bacterium. Its description in RNAcentral is "partial 16S ribosomal RNA". It matches the Rfam family "Bacterial small subunit ribosomal RNA", at positions 524 to 768 of the family's 1533-position model. The record is from RNAcentral.